Molecule: ribosomal RNA, 253 nt
Filed under: uncultured bacterium
Lineage: Bacteria
Description: partial 16S ribosomal RNA
Rfam family: Bacterial small subunit ribosomal RNA
Source: RNAcentral
UACGGAGGGGGCUAGCGUUGUUCGGAAUUACUGGGCGUAAAGCGCGCGUAGGCGGCCUUGUAAGUUAGAGGUGAAAGCCCGAAGCUCAACUUCGGAAUAGCCUUUAAGACUGCAUCGCUAGAAUCAUGGAGAGGUUAGUGGAAUUCCGAGUGUAGAGGUGAAAUUCGUAGAUAUUCGGAAGAACACCAGUGGCGAAGGCGACUAACUGGACAUGUAUUGACGCUGAGGUGCGAAAGCGUGGGGAGCAAACAGG